AUAAUGGGUCAGCGACUUAUAUUCUGUAGCAAGGUUAACCGAAUAGGGGAGCCGAAGGGAAACCGAGUCUUAACUGGGCGUUAAGUUGCAGGGUAUAGACCCGAAACCCGGUGAUCUAGCCAUGGGCAGGUUGAAGGUUGGGUAACACUAACUGGAGGACCGAACCGACUAAUGUUGAAAAAUUAGCGGAUGACUUGUGGCUGGGGGUGAAAGGCCAAUCAAACCGGGAGAUAGCUGGUUCUCCCCGAAAGCUAUUUAGGUAGCGCCUCGUGAAUUCAUCUCCGGGGGUAGAGCACUGUUUCGGCAAGGGGGUCAUCCCGACUUACCAACCCGAUGCAAACUGCGAAUACCGGAGAAUGUUAUCACGGGAGACACACGGCGGGUGCUAACGUCCGUCGUGAAGAGGGAAACAACCCAGACCGCCAGCUAAGGUCCCAAAGUCAUGGUUAAGUGGGAAACGAUGUGGGAAGGCCCAGACAGCCAGGAUGUUGGCUUAGAAGCAGCCAUCAUUUAAAGAAAGCGUAAUAGCUCACUGGUCGAGUCGGCCUGCGCGGAAGAUGUAACGGGGCUAAACCAUGCACCGAAGCUGCGGCAGCGACGCUGAUGCGUUGUUGGGUAGGGGAGCGUUCUGUAAGCCUGCGAAGGUGUGCUGUGAGGCAUGCUGGAGGUAUCAGAAGUGCGAAUGCUGACAUAAGUAACGAUAAAGCGGGUGAAAAGCCCGCUCGCCGGAAGACCAAGGGUUCCUGUCCAACGUUAAUCGGGGCAGGGUGAGUCGACCCCUAAGGCGAGGCCGAAAGGCGUAGUCGAUGGGAAACAGGUUAAUAUUCCUGUACUUGGUGUUACUGCGAAGGGGGGACGGAGAAGGCUAUGUUGGCCGGGCGACGGUUGUCCCGGUUUAAGCGUGUAGGCUGGUUUUCCAGGCAAAUCCGGAAAAUCAAGGCUGAGGCGUGAUGACGAGGCACUACGGUGCUGAAGCAACAAAUGCCCUGCUUCCAGGAAAAGCCUCUAAGCAUCAGGUAACAUCAAAUCGUACCCCAAACCGACACAGGUGGUCAGGUAGAGAAUACCAAGGCGCUUGAGAGAACUCGGGUGAAGGAACUAGGCAAAAUGGUGCCGUAACUUCGGGAGAAGGCACGCUGAUAUGUAGGUGAAGUCCCUCGCGGAUGGAGCUGAAAUCAGUCGAAGAUACCAGCUGGCUGCAACUGUUUAUUAAAAACACAGCACUGUGCAAACACGAAAGUGGACGUAUACGGUGUGACGCCUGCCCGGUGCCGG
RNAcentral lists this ribosomal RNA (1275 nucleotides) under Escherichia coli. Its description in RNAcentral is "partial 23S ribosomal RNA". It matches the Rfam family "Bacterial large subunit ribosomal RNA", at positions 612 to 1872 of the family's 2925-position model. The record is from RNAcentral. Lineage: Bacteria; Pseudomonadati; Pseudomonadota; Gammaproteobacteria; Enterobacterales; Enterobacteriaceae.